CCUACGGGUGGCAGCAGUGAGGAAUAUUGGUCAAUGGGCGCGAGCCUGAACCAGCCAAGUCGCGUGAAGGAUGACUGCCCUAUGGGUUGUAAACUUCUUUUAUAAAGGAAUAAAGGUAUGCACGUGUGCCUUUUUGCAUGUACUUUAUGAAUAAGCAUCGGCUAACUCCGUGCCAGCAGCCGCGGUAAUACGGAGGAUCCGAGCGUUAUCCGGAUUUAUUGGGUUUAAAGGGAGCGUAGAUGGGUUGUUAAGUCAGUGGUGAAAGUUUGCGGCUCAACCGUAAAAUUGCAAUUGAUACUGGCAGUCUUGAGUACGGUUGAGGUAGGCGGAAUGCGUGGUGUAGCGGUGAAAUGCAUAGAUAUCACGAAGAACUCCGAUUGCGAAGGCAGCUUACUAAGCUGCAACUGACAUUGAUGCACGAAAGUGUGGGUAUCAAACAGGAUUAGAUACCCGAGUAGUC
RNAcentral lists this ribosomal RNA (460 nucleotides) under uncultured bacterium. Its description in RNAcentral is "partial 16S ribosomal RNA". It matches the Rfam family "Bacterial small subunit ribosomal RNA", at positions 338 to 795 of the family's 1533-position model. The record is from RNAcentral.